ACAUGACGUCUCUCAGAUGGUGCCCCUGUUAAAGGGGGCUAAGAGGGAAGCCGGUGUAAUUCCGGUGCUGUACCCGCAACUGUCAGCCGGGAGCCGAUGGCCAAACAAGUCACUGGGAGACGAGUCUCCUGGGAAGACGGCCAGACGCAUUGAUCGGUGAGCCAGGAGACCUGCCAUCGCGUCGUUCGUCCG
Molecule: non-coding RNA, 192 nt
Filed under: Hyphomonas johnsonii
Lineage: Bacteria; Pseudomonadati; Pseudomonadota; Alphaproteobacteria; Hyphomonadales; Hyphomonadaceae
Source: RNAcentral